RNAcentral lists this unclassified non-coding RNA (265 nucleotides) under Hevea brasiliensis (rubber tree). Lineage: Eukaryota; Viridiplantae; Streptophyta; Magnoliopsida; Malpighiales; Euphorbiaceae. The record is from RNAcentral.
CCCGUCCGCAAUUCCAACUUCUCGCCUUAUAUAUCGAUUUCUUUCUUGCAAAUCCAGUACCCAACAUCUUCUAACGCCUUCAGCUUAAGGCUUCAGCCUUCCUCAUCUUUAUAUCUUCUUCUUCUUCUUCUUCAACAAUGGCAAGCACUGUUUUUGCUAAUUCACCACUGCCUUUUUCUUCUACACCUCCUAGUUCUCUACCCACUUUUAAUGCAUUUCCUCUCUCUCGAAUUUCUUUUCCCAAUUCUAGAUCUCAUUUCCUUUC